AGAUUGAACGCUGGCGGCAGGCCUAACACAUGCAAGUCGAGCGGCAGCACGGGUACUUGUACCUGGUGGCGAGCGGCGGACGGGUGAGUAAUGCCCAGGAAUCUGCCUGGUAGUGGGGGAUAACGCUCGGAAACGGACGCUAAUACCGCAUACGUCCUACGGGAGAAAGCAGGGGACCUUCGGGCCUUGCGCUAUCAGAUGAGCCUAGGUCGGAUUAGCUAGUUGGUGAGGUAAUGGCUCACCAAGGCGACGAUCCGUAACUGGUCUGAGAGGAUGAUCAGUCACACUGGAACUGAGACACGGUCCAGACUCCUACGGGAGCAGCAGUGGGGAAUAGUUGGACAAUGGGCGAAAGCC
Molecule: ribosomal RNA, 357 nt
Filed under: uncultured soil bacterium
Lineage: Bacteria
Description: bacterial SSU rRNA
Rfam family: Bacterial small subunit ribosomal RNA
Source: RNAcentral